UCCAGACUCCUACGGGAGGCAGCAGUGAGGAAUAUUGGUCAAUGGCCGGGAGGCUGAACCAGCCAAGUCGCGUGAGGGAAGACGGCCCUACGGGUUGUAAACCUCUUUUGUCGGGGAGCAAAAGCCGGACGUGUCCGGCUGUGAGAGUACCCGAAGAAAAAGCAUCGGCUAACUCCGUGCCAGCAGCCGCGGUAAUACGGAGGAUCCGAGCGUUAUCCGGAUUUAUUGGGUUUAAAGGGAGCGUAGAUGGGUUGUUAAGUCAGUUGUGAAAGUUUGCGGCUCAACCGUAAAAUUGCAAUUGAUACUGGCAGUCUUGAGUACAGUUGAGGUAGGCGGAAUUCGUGGUGUAGCGGUGAAAUGCUUAGAUAUCACGAAGAACCCCGAUUGCGAAGGCAGCUUACUAAACUGUGACUGACAUUGAUGCUCGAAAGUGUGGGCAUCAAACAGGAUUAGAUACCCCCGUAGAA
This 467-nucleotide ribosomal RNA is filed under the name uncultured bacterium. RNAcentral describes it as "bacterial SSU rRNA". It matches the Rfam family "Bacterial small subunit ribosomal RNA", at positions 330 to 795 of the family's 1533-position model. The record is from RNAcentral.